This is a non-coding RNA of Erinaceus europaeus (western European hedgehog), 514 nucleotides long. Lineage: Eukaryota; Metazoa; Chordata; Mammalia; Eulipotyphla; Erinaceidae. The record is from Rfam.
CGUCCCGGGGCGGCCCGAAACCCGCCUCCACUCGGGACCUUGACCUCGCCGCCACACUUAGCUCUCCCUGACCUGCUUUUGAACCCGCUAAUCCCGCCCCGAAUUCUCGCCCCGCGGCGAUCCUUCGCGCUGGCCCUGGCGGGCACACUAAUUCCAGCUGACUCGCCGCCCCGCCUCUUCGCGUCUCCCGGCAAGGCUCCCACCAACAGCCCGCUUCUCCCCAGCCCAGGCGCGAUGCUCUCGGGCCCUGUCUCUUGCAUUAUCUCCUUCCUUUGCAUUACCUUACUCUAAUUCCUUAAAAAAAAAAAAAAAAAAAACUAUCAGACACAAAAAGAUCCAAAACGCAGGUAAUACACAUGUACACCUGGAGGUGCUGGGAGGUUGCAGCACAGAGCCAGGGUGGCUGCUGGUGAUGUGACUUCAUUCCGACUUUUAGGGGUAAGAGAUUAAAGUCUGAGACUGAGGUGCACGUAGGGGCUUUUGCAUUUGGGACUGAAAGUCUGGACAGCCACCU